GAAACGACUGCUAAGACUGGAUAGGAAGAUAAAAGGCAUCUUUUAUCUUUUAAAAGACCUAGUAAUAGGUAUGCUUUAGGAGGGGCUUGCGCCAUAUUAGUUAGUUGGUAGGGUAAUGGCCUACCAAGACGAUGAUGUGUAGCUGGACUGAGAGGUUGAACAGCCACAUUGGGACUGAGACACGGCCCAAACUCCUACGGGAGGCAGCAGUAGGGAAUUUUCGGCAAUGGAGGAAACUCUGACCGAGCAACGCCGCGUGAAUGACGAAGUACUUCGGUAUGUAAAGUUCUUUUAUCAAGGAAGAAAAGCAAAUGGCGAACCAUUUGUUUGCCGGUACUUGAUGAAUAAGCCCCGGCUAAUUAUGUGCCAGCAGCCGCGGUAAGACAUAAGGGGCAAGUGUUAUCCGGAAUUAUUGGGCGUAAAGGGUGCGUAGGCGGUCUAGUAAGUCAGUGGUGUAAUGGCAACGCUUAACGUUGUCCGGCUAUUGAAACUGCUAAACUUGAGUUAGAUAGAGGCGAGUGGAAUUUCCAUGUGUAGCGGUAAAAUGCGUAAAAUAUAUGGAGGAACACCAGAGGCGUAGGCGGCUCGCUGGGUCUUAACUGACGCUGAGGCACGAAAGCGUGGGGAGCAAACAGGAUUAGAUACCCUGGUAGUCCACGCCGUAAACGAUGAGUACUAAGUGUCGGGUUAAACCGGUACUGAAGUUAACACAUUAAGUACUCCGCCUGAGUAGUACGUACGCAAGUAUGAAACUUAAAGGAAUUGACGGGACUCCGCACAAGCGGUGGAUCAUGUUGUUUAAUUCGAAGAUACCCGAAAAACCUUACCAGGUCUUGACAUGUUUUUGCAAAAUGAUAGUAAUAUCGUGGAGGUUACCAGAAACACAGGUGGUGCAUGGUUGUCGUCAGCUCGUGUCGUGAGAUGUUAGGUUAAGUCCUAAAACGAGCGAAACCCUUAUCGUUAGUUGCCAGCACGUUAUGGUGGGGACUUUAACGAGACUGCCAAUGAUAAAUUGGAGGAAGGUGAGGAUCACGUCAAAUCAGCAUGCCCCUUAUGACCUGGGCUACAAACGUGAUACAAUGGCUGUUACAAAGGGUAGCUGAAACGCAAGUUCUUGGCCAAUCCCCAAAAACAGUCCCAGUCCGGAUUGAAGUCUGCAACUCGACUUCAUGAAGUUGGAAUCGCUAGUAAUCGCGAAUCAGCAUGUCGCGGUGAAUACGUUCUCGGGUUUGUACACACCGCCCGUCA
RNAcentral lists this ribosomal RNA (1248 nucleotides) under 'Sesamum indicum' phytoplasma. Its description in RNAcentral is "bacterial SSU rRNA". It matches the Rfam family "Bacterial small subunit ribosomal RNA", at positions 153 to 1399 of the family's 1533-position model. Lineage: Bacteria; Bacillati; Mycoplasmatota; Mollicutes; Acholeplasmatales; Acholeplasmataceae. The record is from RNAcentral.